AUCAGUUUCAGUGGCAAACUUGUCUCUCUCUCUCUCUCUCUCUCUCUCUUCUUCACACACGCACUUGUAGACACACGCGCAAACACACACACAUACAAACACUGAUUAGUUUGUUUUCUUGUCCUGCUGAACAAUAGGUAAAUGCUGAAAUGACACACACACAUUUAAAAAAAAUUCACAAUUCUUCUUCACACUGCACCAUCAAAGUCUUGCAGUGCUUCAUGUUCAAUGCUGUUUGCAGCAGGUAACACACACAGACACAGAGAGAGACACAGGAUUGGGUGAUGUAGGGAUGUUGUGUACAGGACUGUAGGUUGUUUUAGUGAUGUUGUACAGGACUGUAGGUUGUUGUAGGGGUUUUGUACAAGAUUGUAGAUUGUUGUACAGGACUGUAGGGUGUUGUAGGGGUGUUGUACAGAGUUGUAGGGGUGUUGUACAGGACUAUAGGGUGUUGUACAAGACUGUACAGUGUUGUAGGGGUUUUGUACAAGAAUACAGGGUGUUGUAGGGAUGUUGUACAAGAUUGUAGAUUGUUGUACAGGACUGUAGGGUGUUGUAGGGGUGUUGUACAGAGUUGUAGGGGUGUUGUACAGGACUAUAGGGUGUUGUACAAGACUGUACAGUGUUGUAGGGGUUUUGUACAAGAAUACAGGGUGUUGUAGGGAUGUUGUACAAGAUUGUAGAUUGUUGUACAAGACUGUACAGUGUUGUAGGGGUGUUGUACAGGACUGUAGGUUUUUGUAGGGGUGUUGUACAGGACUGUAGGUUAUUGUAGGGGUGUUGUACAGGGCUGUAGGGUGUUGUAGGGGUGUUGUACAGGACUGUAGGGUGUUGUAGGGGUGUUGUACAGGACUGUAGGUUGUUGUAGGGGUGUUGUACAAGACUGUAGGGUGUUGUAGGGGUGUUGUAUAGAAAUGUAUGGUGUUGUAGGGGUGUUGUAUAGAAAUGUAUGGUGUUGUAGGGGUGUUGUAUAGAACUGUAGGGUGUUGUAGGGGUGUUGUACAGGACUGUAGGGUGUUGUAGGGGUGUUGUACAGGACUGUAGGGUGUUGUAGGGGUGUUGUACAAAACUGUAGGGUGUUGUAGGGGUGUUGUACAGGACUGUAGGGUGUUGUAGGGGUGUUGUAUAGAACUAUAGGGUGUUGUAGGGGUGUUGUACAGAACUGUAGGUUGUUGUAGGGGAGUUGUAAAGAACUGUAGGGUGUUGUAGAGGUGUUGUACAGGACUGUAAGGUGUUGUAGGGGUGUUGUACAGGACUGUAGGGUGUUGUAGGGGUGUUGUAUAGAUCUGUAGGGUGUUGUAGGGGUGUUGUACAGAACUGGAGGUUAUUGUAGGGGUGUUUUACAGGAUUAAAAGGUGUUGUAGGGGUGUUGUUCAGGACUGUAGGUUGUUGUAGGGGUGUUGUACAGGAUUAAAAGGUGUUGUAGGGGUGUUGUACAGGACUGUAGGGUGUUGUAGGGGUGUUGUACAAAACUGUAGGUUGUUGUAGGGGUGUUGUACAGGAUUAAAAGGUGUUGUAGGGCUGUUGUACAGGACUGUAGGGUGUUGUAGGGGUGUUGUACAGAACUGUAGGUUGUUGUAGGGGUGUUGUACAGGAUUAAAAGGUGUUGUAGGGGUGUUGUACAAGACUGUAGGUUGUUGUAGGGGUGUUGUACAGGAUUAAAAGGUGUUGUAGGGGUGUUGUACAGGACUGUAGGUUGUUGUAGGGGUGUUGUACAGGAUUAAAAGGUGUUGUAGGGGUGUUGUUCAGGACUGUAGGUUAUUGUAGGGGUGUUGUACAAGGUUGCUCAAGCCCAUUUAUGUCACAGAACAAAGUAACACAGUAAAAAGGUGUCAAAUGAUGUUUAGUACUCAUGUCAUCAUAGACGUUUUUGGUGUCUACUGGCCGAUUGUUGGUGUCUGCUGCGCUCUCUUAGGAUGGGUUGGGCUGGUCGGUAUACAGUUACAUCAAGACCUGAUGUCACGUCUGGUGUGGGUGUGAGAGAUUAGAGACAUGUGGUAAAGAGUCUAAAGAAGAAUAAUGCAGCUUUGUUUGGCAAGUGUGGGUAUGGGUGUUAUUCCUAGGCCUGAACAGUAUUUCGAUAUCGGUAUUUAUCGUGAUAAGAAAUGUUUCAAUAACGGUGAUAUUAUUUUUGUGGCAUAUCAAUAUGUAUUAUUUUCAGACAGGCGUUUUUUUAGCGGCGUCAGUUCACUGCAGCGCUGUACACAAUCAGACUCCGUAGCCAGGCUACGUCAGUGCGUGAUGACGCAAUCAUACAGGCACGUAGCCAGAGGCUAGGCUAGGCUAGGCUAGACCUGGGUCGGGUCGGCUCCGCUCCGCACCUAAAAUCUCCCGCGAUCAAGCGAAACCAACCCUAACCGAGCGGAUCUUGGCUGCACUCCUCUCCUCUCCGGUCCGCACCUAAAACCCACCCGCGAUGAAGCGAAACCGACUCUAACCGAGCGAAUCUCAGCUGCGCUCCGCUCCGCACCUAAAACCCACCCGCGAUCAAGCGAAACCAAGGGCAGAAACCGAGCUUCUGCCCUUUCAGAGCUAACCUUCUGACGCGCCAGGGCCAAGCUUCUGACGCGCCAGGGCCAAGCUUCUGACGCGCUAGGGCCAAGCUUUUUCACAAUUAGGGCUGAGCAUUCUGCCCCUUCAGAGAUAACCUUCUGAUGCGCCAGGGCCGAGUCUCUACCCCUUCAGAGCUAACCUUCUGAUG
This is a long non-coding RNA of Astyanax mexicanus (Mexican tetra), 2701 nucleotides long. RefSeq lists it as uncharacterized. Lineage: Eukaryota; Metazoa; Chordata; Actinopteri; Characiformes; Acestrorhamphidae. The record is from RefSeq and is a predicted model, not a curated record. The transcript has 8 exons.